This 302-nucleotide ribosomal RNA is filed under the name Babesia sp. TDL-2009. Its description in RNAcentral is "SSU rRNA". It matches the Rfam family "Eukaryotic small subunit ribosomal RNA", at positions 483 to 848 of the family's 1831-position model. The record is from RNAcentral. Lineage: Eukaryota; Apicomplexa; Aconoidasida; Piroplasmida; Babesiidae.
AUACAGGGCAAUAGUCUUGUAAUUGGAAUGAUGCCGAUUUAAAAUUCCGGCAGAGUACCAAUUGGAGGGCAAGUCUGGUGCCAGCAGCCGCGGUAAUUCCAGCUCCAAUAGCGUAUAUUAAACUUGUUGCAGUUAAAAAGCUCGUAGUUGAAUUUCAGCGAUUCUGUCAUUAUACCAUGUGGUGUAUUGUCGGUUUCGCCUUUUGUAUUACUUUGAGAAAAUUAGAGUGUUUCAAGCAGACUUUUGUCUUAAAUAGUGUAGCAUGGAAUAAUAGAGUAGGACGGAUAUCCUAUUUUGUUGGU